RNAcentral lists this ribosomal RNA (253 nucleotides) under uncultured bacterium. RNAcentral's name for it is "partial 16S ribosomal RNA". It matches the Rfam family "Bacterial small subunit ribosomal RNA", at positions 524 to 776 of the family's 1533-position model. The record is from RNAcentral.
UACGAAGGGUGCAAACGUUGAUCGGAAUUAUUGGGCGUAAAGCGCACGUAGGCGGCUUGGCAAGUCGGAUGUGAAAGCCCUCGGCUCAACCAAGGAAGUGCAUCCGAAACUGCUGAGCUUGAGUACUUAAGAGGAUCGCGGAAUUCCCGGUGUAGAGGUGAAAUUCGUAGAUAUCGGGAGGAACACCAGUGGCGAAGGCGGCGAUCUGGGAAGAUACUGACGCUGAGGUGCGAAAGCGUGGGGAGCAAACAGG